AAAAAACACACAAACAAAACUUCCCUAACUCGCCGAUCAACCAAAAUCUCUGUUUCUCUUUCCACCCCAAAACCAGUUUUCGCCUUCACUUUGAUGCCAAGUUUCAACCUUUCUGGCGCCCCUUUAAUGUUUUGAUCCAAAGUUUGAUGCUUUUGCUCAAAAAAGUGUGUUUCCUGUUAUGGUGGGUCUGUGGUGGAGAGGAGCUCUUCUCAGCAGACCGAGUGUAUGAAGAAAGCCCUCAGUGAUUUGAUGAGCUUUUGAUUCCCAGCUUAAAAAUGGGAACAGCAGUGAAUAUCAUUGUAGGCUCUCAUGUUUGGGUCGAAGACCCAGAAUUGGCUUGGACGGAUGGACAAGUCACAAAAAUUAAUGGACAGGAAGUUGAGAUCCAGGGUAGCAAUGGGAAGAAGAUGGUUGCCAACUUAUCAAAAAUAUAUCCAAAAGACAUGGAAGCUCCUGCUGGCGGAGUUGAUGACAUGACAAAGCUAUCUUAUCUGCAUGAGCCUGGAGUUUUGGAGAAUUUGAAAACUAGAUACGAACUUAAUGAAAUCUAUACGUAUACUGGAAAUAUCCUUAUUGCCAUUAAUCCAUUCCAAAGACUGCCCCAUAUCUAUGAUAGUCACAUGAUGCAACAAUACAAGGGAGCACCAUUUGGAGAGCUAAGUCCUCAUGUUUUUGCAGUUGCUGACGUUGCAUACAGGGCAAUGAUUAAUGAGGGAAAAAGCAAUUCAAUUCUGGUCAGUGGUGAAAGUGGAGCAGGUAAAACUGAGACCACAAAAAUGCUCAUGCGGUACCUUGCAUUUCUGGGUGGCCGGGCUGCAACCGAAGGGCGGACAGUUGAACAGCAAGUUCUCGAAUCAAAUCCAGUUCUUGAAGCAUUUGGCAAUGCUAAAACUGUUAGAAAUAACAAUUCUAGUCGGUUUGGUAAGUUUGUUGAAAUCCAGUUUGAUAAGCAAGGAAGAAUCUCUGGAGCAGCCAUCAGAACUUACCUUCUGGAACGGUCUCGUGUUUGCCAAGUUUCUGAUCCUGAGCGCAACUACCACUGCUUCUACCUUCUUUGUGCUGCACCACAAGAGGAAAUUGAGAAAUACAAAUUGGGAAAUCCUAAAUCAUUUCACUAUCUUAACCAGUCACGUUGCUAUGAGCUAGUCGGGGUAAGUGAUGCCCAUGACUAUCUUGCCACAAGGAGAGCUAUGGAUAUUGUUGGAAUAAGUGCAAAGGAGCAGGAAGCAAUUUUUAGAGUAGUUGCCGCAAUUCUUCAUCUUGGAAAUGUUGUAUUUGCUAAGGGAAAGGAAGUUGAUUCAUCCAUUCCAAAAGAUGAUCAAGCCAAAUUCCAUCUCAAGAUGGUCGCAGAGCUUCUCAUGUGUGAUGCUGCUGCAUUAGAAGAUGCAUUGUGUAAGCGUGUCAUGAUAACGCCUGAAGAAGUUAUCAAGAGAAGUCUUGAUCCUCAAAGUGCAGCAAUUAGCCGUGAUGGUUUAGCAAAGACAAUAUAUUCUCGACUGUUUGACUGGUUGGUGGACAAAAUUAAUGUUUCAAUUGGACAGGAUGCUAACUCAAAAUCUUUGAUUGGGGUUCUUGACAUCUACGGUUUUGAAAGUUUUAAGCACAACAGUUUCGAGCAGUUCUGUAUCAACUUCACAAAUGAGAAAUUGCAGCAACAUUUCAAUCAGCACGUUUUCAAAAUGGAACAAGAAGAGUACACAAAAGAGGAGAUUGAUUGGAGCUACAUUGAAUUUGUCGAUAAUCAAGAUGUCUUGGAUCUUAUUGAAAAGAAACCUGGAGGAAUAGUUGCUCUCCUCGAUGAAGCUUGCAUGUUUCCAAAGUCAACCCAUGAAACAUUUGCAAAUAAGCUAUAUCAGACAUUUAAAGCUCAUAAGCGCUUCAUAAAGCCAAAACUUUCUCGAACAGAUUUUACCAUCGCCCAUUAUGCUGGAGAGGUGCUCUAUCAGUCUGACCAAUUUUUGGACAAAAACAAGGACUAUGUGGUUCCUGAACAUCAAGACUUGUUGGGUGUUUCCAAAUGUACUUUUGUGGCAGGUCUUUUCCCUCCACUUCGAGAAGAGACAGCUAAAUCUACCAAGUUUUCUUCAAUUGGCUCUCGUUUUAAGCUACAACUACAAAGCCUAAUGGAAACUUUAAACUCUACGGAGCCUCACUAUAUCAGAUGUGUAAAACCAAACAACCUUCUAAAACCGGCUGUAUUUGAGAACGUAAACAUUAUGCAGCAACUGCGCUGUGGUGGUGUUUUAGAAGCAAUUCGAAUUAGCUGUGCUGGUUACCCUACUCGAAAACCUUUCUUUGAAUUCACCAACCGAUUUGGACUUCUUGCCCCAGAGGUCUUGGAUGCAAACGUUGAUGAAAAAGUUGCGUGCAAAAAAAUUCUGGAAAAGAAGGGUCUUCAAGGGUUUCAGAUAGGUAAAACAAAGGUAUUCUUAAGAGCUGGUCAGAUGGCUGAGUUAGAUGCACGAAGAACCGAAGUACUUAGUGGUGCAGCAAAAACUAUCCAGCGACGUGUACGAACUCAUUAUGCGCGGAAACGGUUUAUUGCAUUGCGUGAGGCAACCAUAGUUAUGCAAUCAAUAUGUAGAGGAAGACUCUCUUGCAAACGCUUCGAUGGCAUGAAAAGAGAGGCAGCUGCUAAGAAGAUUCAGAAGCACAUACGUAGAUAUCGCGCCAGAACAAAUUAUAAAAAACUCCAUCUCUCAGGGCUUGUCUUGCAAACAGGUUUAAGAGCAAUGGCUGCUCGUAAUCAAUUCAGAUUUAGGAAGCAAGCUAAAGCAGCAACCAUUCUUCAGGCUGUGUGGAGAUGCCAUAAAGCUGCCUCAUACUUUAAGAGGCUCAAGAGGGGUUCAGUGGUCGCACAGUGCCGAAUGAGGUCAAAAAUUGCAAGGAAGGAACUUAGGAAGCUCAAAAUGGAAGCAAGGGAAACAGGUGCUCUUAAAGAAGCAAAAGACAAGUUAACAAAACAAGUGGAGGAACUAACUUGGCGUCUACAGUUGGAAAAACGUUUAAGGACUGACCUAGAAGAAGCAAAAGCACAAGAGAUAACUAAAUUGCAGAACUCAUUGCAAGAAAUGCAGAAUAAAGUUGAAGAAGCAAAUGCAAAAAUUGUCAAGGAACGGGAGGAGGCUGCAAAGAAAGCUAUUGAAGAGGCAACUCCUGUUGUACAAGAAACCCAAGUUGUCGUUGAGGACACCAAAAAAAUUGAUUCUCUAACAGCAGAAGUGGAGAGUUUAAAGGCUUCGUUGGAUUCAGAGAAACAAAGAGCUGAUGAUUGUGAAAGAAAAUACAAUGAAGCUCAAACAUCUGGUGAAGAACGACGUAAGAAAUUAGAAGAAACUGAGAAAAAAGUUAGUCAGCUCCAGGAAAAUAUGACCAGGCUAGAGGAGAAGCUUACCAAUUUAGAAUCAGAAAAUCAAGUAUUGCGCCAACAAGCCGUGUCCAUGGCACCAAAUAAGUUCCUUUCUGGACGGUCCAGAUCAAUUAUUCAGAGGGCAGCUGAAAGUGGUAUUCCGACUGAUGCAAAGGCAGCUAUGGAUCUGCAUAGUGCUUCGAUAAACCACAGGGAGUCUGAAUUGGAGGAUAAGCCACAGAAGUCACUAAAUGAAAAACAGCAGGAGAAUCAAGAGCUGCUGAUUCGAUGCAUUGCACAACACCUAGGCUUUGCAGGGAACAGGCCUAUUGCUGCCUGCAUCAUAUAUAAAUGCCUUUUGCAGUGGAGAUCAUUUGAAGUUGAGCGGACAAGCAUUUUUGAUAGGAUUAUUCAGACCAUAGGCAAUGCCAUUGAGACCCAGGAUAACAAUGAUAUCUUGGCCUAUUGGUUAUCCAAUGCCUCAACACUUCUAUUACUACUCCAGCGUACACUGAAAGCAAGUGGUGCUGCAGGAAUGGCACCGCAACGACGUCGAUCAUCAUCAGCUACUUUAUUUGGAAGGAUGACACAAAGUUUCCGUGGAAGCCCACAAGGUGUCAAUCUUUCCUUAAUCAACGGUGGAUCGAGUGGUGGAGUGGACACUUUACGGCAAGUUGAAGCCAAGUACCCAGCUUUGCUUUUUAAACAGCAACUCACAGCAUAUGUAGAAAAGAUUUAUGGGAUGAUUCGAGAUAAUUUGAAGAAAGAAAUUUCACCGUUGCUUGGAUUGUGCAUCCAGGCACCAAGAACAUCAAGGGCGAGCUUGGUUAAAGGAGCCCGAUCAGUUGCAAAUACCGAGGCCCAGAGAGCUUUGAUUGCUCACUGGCAAGGGAUUGUUAAGAGUCUCGGAAACUUCUUAAAUACGUUAAAAGCAAAUCAUGUACCUCCUUUUUUAGUCCGCAAGGUGUUCACACAGAUAUUCUCCUUCAUCAAUGUUCAGUUAUUCAACAGCCUUCUAUUACGACGAGAGUGCUGUUCGUUUAGUAAUGGGGAGUAUGUAAAAGCUGGUUUGGCUGAGUUGGAGCAUUGGUGCUAUAAAGCAACAGAUGAGUAUGCAGGUUCAGCUUGGGAUGAACUCAAGCAUAUUAGGCAAGCCAUUGGAUUCCUGGUAAUACAUCAAAAACCCAAAAAGACACUUGAUGAAAUAAGCCAUGACCUGUGCCCAGUCCUCAGUAUACAGCAGCUAUAUCGUAUCAGUACAAUGUACUGGGAUGACAAAUAUGGCACACAUAGCGUGUCCUCGGAUGUAAGUUUCUAUGGAUGCCAUUACUCAACUAGGUUAUAUCCAAUAUGAGAGUGUUGAUGACAGAAGAUUCUAACAAUGCUGUCAGUAAUUCUUUCCUCUUGGAUGACGAUUCCAGCAUUCCAUUUUCAGUUGAUGACUUAUCAAAGUCGAUGGAACAAAUAGACAUUUCCGACAUUGAACCACCGCCACUUAUUCGUGAAAACUCAGGCUUUAGUUUCUUGUUGCCGCGUGCAGAUUGAUAGAAUUAUUAUCAAUAUCUCCCUAUGUUUGCUGUCAAGUAAUAGAUUCAGCUGCUUCUUUCAUGGAUAUUAUGGGGUUGUAUAUUGUUCAUCAUGCUUUACCCCAAAAUUUCUUCUUUGACUACAAUGGAGAUACAUAGUGGGAUGUCGUUUCUCCCCAGCAGUAUAGGUUGAAUAUUCUUCUGUCUUGUGUUGUACAAGUAGCUAAUUUUAGUGAUCGAUCAGGGAAAGAAAUUAAAAACAUAGCUCAUUAUUCUCUUUUUCCAA
RNA transcript from Rosa chinensis, 5161 nucleotides. It is a transcript of the gene named myosin-11, with no coding region annotated. The record is from RefSeq and is a predicted model, not a curated record. The transcript is spliced from 38 exons. NCBI's taxonomy places the organism in Eukaryota, Viridiplantae, Streptophyta, Magnoliopsida, Rosales, Rosaceae.